This 57-nucleotide transfer RNA is filed under the name Craspedolepta formosa. RNAcentral's name for it is "tRNA-Leu". Lineage: Eukaryota; Metazoa; Arthropoda; Insecta; Hemiptera; Aphalaridae. The record is from RNAcentral.
UUGUGACAGAUUUAAUGUAUUAAAUUUAAGAUUUAGCCAUGAAUAUUUCCUUUAGAA